CUUUUGACUAAUUCUAAACAUAAGCAUAAAAAGGCCUGAAAGCAACAUUUAAGGGUAGCUCUAAGUUGUAGUCAUAAAAGCUAGCAUGUACGGAGCCCUUGCGAGGUGCCGGGCAUGCUAGUGACCCUUUAAAUACGUAUCACAUCUAAUUUAAUUUUCAGUGGCCCCAUAAGGAAAGCAUUUUCUUCUCCCACAGGUGAGGCAGUUGAGGCUCAGAAAAGUGACUUACCUAAGGUCACCUAGCAAGUUAGUGUCAGCACUGGUAUUCCAGUUUACAUCAGACUCCAAAGCCUAUGGCUGCCUCCCCCAGGAUCCCAUUCCUUUCCUCUAGGUAAGAGCGUUGGACCAGAUCCACCAAGAGUAGCCUAGAACCACGAAAUCAGCGUGUCCGCCACAGUAACAGGUGGGACAAAGCAAGACAGUUGUAGAAAUAAGUUAGACUUCACCUCUUCCAAAAAGCAGUGGACUAACCUUGCAAGCCAUUAGGUGGCUGCCAGCUUUAUCACGAGACAGGGAAAGGAUGUGAUUUUGUAUUUAUAGUGCACCCUCCCUGACACCAUGAAGAAGGGGCAUCUUGACCGCCAGCUGCAGUCAUGGGUAUGGGCAGCAAGCCUGGAUGGACUGAACCGCUCUGCACAGUAAAGGCAAAAGGGGCUCAAGGAGCCCUGAGGGAAGCCUGUAUAGGGAAACUUAGACCACAGUGGAGCCGGUCCUUACACAGGUCAACCUGGGGGGUGGCACCAGGGGGCUUCGGAAGGAUGGGCCCAAUUCUAAUUAAUGUUGAUAGCAUGGAUCCCCUCCGAGAGGCACAAGGAAGACCGUGUUCUGUGUCAGCGUUGGCCAAGCGCGGAGGCUGCCCGUGGGUGGUGUUCACCUUCUCGUUUCUGAUUUCCAGGCAGCCUCGGAACCCGUCCUGGACCCACAGCAAAUCCAAGCGUUUGAUCAGCUUUGCCAUCUCUACCGAGGAAGUUCCCGGCUGGCUCUCCUCACAGAACUCUCCCAGAAUCGCAGCAGUGAGAGCUACAGGCCAUUCAGUGGCUCCCAGAGCGGCCCCGCUUUCAACAGCAUCUUCCAGAAUGAGAAUUUCCAGCUACAGCUCAUUCCCCCACCUGUGACUGAGGACUGAGGCCUCUCUGGGGCCUGGCACUGGAGACCAGAGAUGAUCCUGAUGCAUCCAGGGAGGGACCCCCUCUCUAACUGGCUUAGCCCCUGUGCCUGCCCCCUUCUGAGCAGAGGUGGACGUCCAUGCCCAUCAUUCCCUGGGGAGACUCCCUGUCUAUCAGCAUCAGUUCACCAGACCUGUUGAUUUUGUUUUGCUUCUUCAGCAAAGGAAUGUCCUGUACUUCCUUCCACCUUUUUAAGAACAUAUGCUUUGCCCUUUGGGACUUUUUCCAGUUUGCCUGAAGCUUAGAGAAUAGACAGAACUCAGGCAGAGGGCACUCAGGAGUCUGUCCUACUUCAUCCCCUCCAGCUGCUGGGUAACAUGGAGGAACUUAGCUCCUGCUGCUGUCGGGAAGACAGAACAGUGGUGGGUCAGGCUGCAGGAGGACUGAAAGCUGCACUGGGCUAUGGAGGGACAAAGAUCCGGGGCAGGGCAUCUCCCAAAACCUAUUUGAGUGUAAGAUUUGCCCUACCAAACAAUAAAUGCCUGUUUAUGUUCUACA
This is a long non-coding RNA of Ursus americanus (American black bear), 1664 nucleotides long. Lineage: Eukaryota; Metazoa; Chordata; Mammalia; Carnivora; Ursidae. The record is from Ensembl.